RNAcentral lists this ribosomal RNA (253 nucleotides) under uncultured bacterium. RNAcentral describes it as "partial 16S ribosomal RNA". It matches the Rfam family "Bacterial small subunit ribosomal RNA", at positions 524 to 776 of the family's 1533-position model. The record is from RNAcentral.
GCCGUAGGGCGCGAGCGUUGUCCGGAUUUAUUGGGCGUAAAGAGCUCGUAGGCGGCUUGUCGCGUCGAAUGUGAAAUUUUAGGGCUCAACCCUGACAUUGCAUUCGAUACGGGCAGGCUUGAGUUCGGUAGGGGAGACUGGAAUUCCUGGUGUAGCGGUGAAAUGCGCAGAUAUCAGGAGGAACACCGGUGGCGAAGGCGGGUCUCUGGGCCGAAAUUGACGCUGAGGAGCGAAAGCGUGGGGAGCAAACAGG